Molecule: ribosomal RNA, 254 nt
Filed under: uncultured bacterium
Lineage: Bacteria
Description: partial 16S ribosomal RNA
Rfam family: Bacterial small subunit ribosomal RNA
Source: RNAcentral
UACGAAGGGGGCUAGCGUUGUUCGGAGUUACUGGGCGUAAAGGGCGCGUAGGCGGCGCACCAAGUCAGGCGUGAAAGCCCUGGGCUCAACCCGGGAAUUGCGCUUGAGACUGGUGUGCUUGAGUACGGGAGAGGAUAGUGGAAUUCCCAGUGUAGAGGUGAAAUUCGUAGAUAUUGGGAAGAACACCAGUGGCGAAGGCGACUUACUGGACACGUAUUGACGCUGAGGUGGCGAAAGCGUGGGGAGCAAACAGG